AAGCGUCGCGCCGUGGAAAUUUGCGAACAGUCAAUCCUCGAUAGCGGCGAGUGGGACACGCGGGACACGUGGGAAGCACCGAUUGGUCUAGGGAUACCCGCCACCAUAAUUGCACUAAGAUCCGCUGCCUAUUUAAACCCCCUACCCUUCCUUCGGGGCUUUACUCCGCCUAAAAGACGGCACCUUUCUUUCGUCUGAGAGCCUAGCUACUCAGCCACUCCCUUGGUGCCCCUGUCAACUCCGAGCGUCCUCCGCAUCGGUCUUUGCCGCCUCUCUACCAUCCUUAGCCCCCCGAUUCCUCUUUAAGGGGCUUCCCCGUCAGGUCCUCCACCCCAGAGGCCAUCCUCAAGAGGAUGCCAAGGGCUUGGAGGAAGGCAAGAAGGAGAACAGCGGUCUGCGAGUUCUCCGGUCAUCGAGCGGUCGCUGAAGGUCCCCGUCGCUUCAAAGGGGGUUUGAGGAAGAAUUCCUUCAACAACAGGGGUUUAAUGAC
This 490-nucleotide long non-coding RNA is filed under the name Elaeis guineensis (African oil palm). RNAcentral describes it as "long non-coding RNA (EGUI_LNC045373)". Lineage: Eukaryota; Viridiplantae; Streptophyta; Magnoliopsida; Arecales; Arecaceae. The record is from RNAcentral.